This is an RNA transcript of Ailuropoda melanoleuca (giant panda), 3301 nucleotides long. It is a transcript of the gene named testis expressed 22, with no coding region annotated. The transcript has 2 exons. The record is from RefSeq and is a predicted model, not a curated record. NCBI's taxonomy places the organism in Eukaryota, Metazoa, Chordata, Mammalia, Carnivora, Ursidae.
CCUGCCCCACCACGUACUCGUAGCGUCCCGCACACUCCGUGCCCAGCCGCAAGUACCCUGCUCCUCCGUCAGGGACUGCCGCCUCCCUAAUGGUUCCCUCCUCCCCACCUCCCACCAUGUGCCCCCUUGACCCCCGCCCUGAGCCCCCCUCAGCCCACUCGUUGCCCGCAGAGCCCCUGGAGGGGAGAGGGGCAGCGUCGUCCGGCUUGCCGCCCCCCUUGGGGUGUGGUCCGCGCGGCGUCGAGGUGAGGUCACAGCGGGCAGGAGGAGGGAGGCAGGGAGAGCCCUGGAGCCCUUCGUUCUCUGCCUGCGCUGGGUCUUCUGUGCGGAUCCGGCUGAGGGCACAUGCCCCCCGGGGUGGAGCCAAGGUGGGAAGCCUGGGCCCCUGGAGAGCGGGCGGCGGGGUGCUGUAGGUACUCCUGCCGGGGUGACCGUGGCGAGAAAAAGGGCGGGAGCAGCAGCUGGGGACCCCCUGGCACUGCUGCCCGGUAGCUGGAAGGUGAGCCUAGCAGGGCCUGACACUGCCUCCAUCUGCUUGGGGGCCCCAGGGAGCGGUGGUGAGCUUUCCCAGAGCCCGGGAGGUGCAGACAAGCAGCCUGUGGGGCUGGAGAUGGACAGUCCGGAGCACUUGUCUAAUGCCCCCAUGGGGAAGAAGUCAGAACUGCCGCUGCCCCAAGAGCACAGGCAGCCCUCUCCCCCUCUGAGCCCGACUGUGGCCUGGGGCCAGCCCGGUGCCCAGAGCGAAGGGCAGCAGCCGCAGACUCAGGACUGGUAGUGACAGAACAUUCCCAGGGUGCUUGUGAUGGCCCCUAGAUGGAGGCACCUCUCCGCCCCCCUACCUCACGCCGGAUGGGUAAGCAGCUGCCGGGUUCCCACGGAGCCAUGAGGAGGGGACAGCCCCGGGGGGUGCUUCAGGAGCAGAGAAGCCAGAUGCCCAGAGUUCUGCGUGGAUCCCUGUGUGCAAGGGUCAGAGCCAGGCCGGACGCGUGCCAGGUGUGAUAGGGUGGGCACACGUGGUGCUGGUCAUGGGCCAGCAUGAGUGGGAGUCUGUCAGCCUGUGCGCUUAGACAGUGUGCGUGUGUGCUUGCCAUGGUCAGAGGUUCACAUAAGAAGGUGGCAGGAAAAGGGAAGGCAGGCUCCCUAGCUGCCCCCUGUGGCCACCGUGUGCUCUUCCCGCCCGAGUACCUGUGACGGCUGUGUGAGGGCACUGUGAGGGUCCUGGGGGGGCCAAAGCCGCAGACCACUCGACUUGCUGGACUAGCACAUAAACAUACAAGCGUGUCACCUGGCAGGAGGAAAUUCUCCUGGCAGCUCUUGGCCAGAGGCCACCCCCUCCCCAGCCCCCAAGCUUGAGGUUCUCAGAGGUGAGUGGGGGCCAGUGGGGCAGCAGGGGAGAGGGAAACAAGGGCCCGGUGGGAGGUAGCCAGGGGGAGGGAUUUGGGUGGAGGCCAGAUGAGGGUGCAGACUCAUCUCUGCAGACUCAGGUGUCUGGUUUGGGGGCAGGGAGCCCCUCUCCCUCCUGCUGCUUCCCUCCUCUGCUCCCAGCCCUUCAGGAAUGGCAGCUGUUCACUGCAGCUUUAAAGGAUUCCGUGGGCUACCCCGUGUCUCACUGUCCUGCAUGGUGUCCUUCCUGUGUGCUCCUUGGUGUAGAAUGCUGUUCCCAUCACCUGCAGCCUGGCUGACAUAAGUUAAGUCCACCUUUCCUUCCGUCCCUGUGUCAUCCCAUCCCAGGCCCCACAAGAGCUGUGUUCAUUUGCAGUGUUCACCAUGGCCCCCCGUUGCCCCACACAGUGAGGCCAUGUGCUCCUAAAGGGGCAGUGAGCUCAGGCUGAGGCCAAGGUCUAAGGGUCUAAGGGGACCUUUUCUGACGGAGGGUCUGCCAACAUCCAGCCCCUCACUGAGGGCUGGACAAGCUUACUGAAAUGACCGCAGAGAGUUCCGAAGAAGACAAGACCCCACAGACAGCACGGGAGGGCUGGCCAAUAGGAGUUGCGUUCUGGUGGGCCAUCGCAGACUGGCCAGAGCAGCAGGGCCCACUCCCCGCUGUGUGGUGGGGGCAGCAGAAACAGCUUGCUGCCCUAGCCACUGAGCCCCAGUCCACCCUCAUCGCUAAUCUGGUGUUGGUGUCCUGUCCAUACCACCUGACAGCUAAGGGCACCAGACAUUUGCACAAAACCUCUAUAAUGAAGGAGAGUAAAGCUGGAGACAACCGCAGCAGUGCCGAGCAGAGCAGAACGGGGCUGCCGGCGAGUCGUGUGUGCCAUCUUGGAAGAAUUGGCCCACCGAGCCAAGCGAGAGGGAUAUGAACACGGGACAGCAGCACCACGGGGGACGUGACCGUGCUGUUCAGUGUGGGAGACUGGACCAGAACCGGUCCACAGCAGAGGUUCGGGAAGAGUCCACACAGCUGUGUGCAAAGCAGUGCCCUGCAUGGUUAGGAACAGACUCCAGAAGAAAAGUGAAAAAGGCCAACCUGAAAAUGGGAGUGAACUUGAUAGGAAAUAGGCAACCCUACUAGGGAAACUUUAAAACACCCCGAAGCCUUAGACUUGACAGCAGGGAGAGACACCCCAUUCUCGGAGGGGAAAACUCCCGGCGCCAAGGGUCCUCCUCAGGCAUCUCACAGUCCAGUGUCAUCAACAAUACAGAUGCUAAGUACUGGGGGCACCUGGUCAGAAGAGCAUUUGACGCCUGAUCUCGGGGUCAUGGGUUCCAGCCCCCUGUUGGGUGUAGGGAUCAUUUAAAAAAUAUAUAUAUAUGGUAAAUGUUUUCUCUUCUUCAGUAUGCCAAACUGGUAAAAUAGAAAAAAUAAUCCAAAAUAGGUUCAGUCCUAGCAAAUGUGAAUUCAUAUCACAAAGGAAGAGUCCUGGCCUGUGAUGCAUGAAUAUCAGGACUGGAAAGAAAGUCUGGAAACGGACCCGAAUGCCCGCAGACACUUAGUGCGGGACGAAGAUGGCAUCUCAGAUCAGUGGGGCAGAGGGGCUUCCAGUAAGUCAUGGGGGCCACGGUGUAGCUGUGUACAAGACCGACAGUUGUCCCCGUGCCUCUCACUGAGCACCAAGCUGAGCCCCAGCGGCAUAGGGCCAGCCUUUCCAACCUAGCACCUGGGGGGCUCGGUGGGUGAAGCGUCUGCCUUCGGCUCAGGGCGUGAUCGUGAUCCCGGGUCCUGGGAUCGAGUCCCACGUCGGGCUCCCUGCUCCACGGAGAGCCUGCUUCUCCCUCUCUCUCUGCGCCCCUCUCGUGCUCUCGCGCUCUGUCCAAUAAAUAGUAAAUCUUUAAUAAAGAGAAGUACCAGCAAGGA